RNAcentral lists this ribosomal RNA (253 nucleotides) under uncultured bacterium. RNAcentral describes it as "partial 16S ribosomal RNA". It matches the Rfam family "Bacterial small subunit ribosomal RNA", at positions 524 to 776 of the family's 1533-position model. The record is from RNAcentral.
UACAGAGGGGGCAAGCGUUAUUCGGAAUUAUUGGGCGUAAAGGGCGCGUAGGCGGCCUGGCAAGUGGAAGGUGAAAUCCCUCGGCUUAACCGAGGAACUGCCUCCCAAACUGCUUGGCUUGAGACCAGGAGAGGUGAGUGGAAUUCCCAGUGUAGCGGUGAAAUGCGUAGAUAUUGGGAGGAACACCAGUGGCGAAGGCGCACAUCUGGCCCGAUACUGACGCUGAGGCGCGAAAGCUAGGGGAGCAAACGGG